RNAcentral lists this ribosomal RNA (855 nucleotides) under uncultured Bacteroidales bacterium. RNAcentral describes it as "bacterial SSU rRNA". It matches the Rfam family "Bacterial small subunit ribosomal RNA", at positions 28 to 877 of the family's 1533-position model. Lineage: Bacteria; Pseudomonadati; Bacteroidota; Bacteroidia; Bacteroidales. The record is from RNAcentral.
GAUGAACGCUAGCUACAGGCUUAACACAUGCAAGUCGAGGGGCAGCAUUGGAGUAGCAAUACUUCAGAUGGCGACCGGCGCACGGGUGAGUAACACGUAUCCAACCUGCCGCUUACUCGGGGAUAGCCUUUCGAAAGAAAGAUUAAUACCCGAUGGUAUAAAGAGUUCGCAUGUUCUCUUUAUUAAAGAAUUUCGGUAAGCGAUGGGGAUGCGUUCCAUUAGAUAGUUGGCGGGGUAACGGCCCACCAAGUCUACGAUGGAUAGGGGUUCUGAGAGGAAGGUCCCCCACAUUGGAACUGAGACACGGUCCAAACUCCUACGGGAGGCAGCAGUGAGGAAUAUUGGUCAAUGGACGAGAGUCUGAACCAGCCAAGUAGCGUGAAGGAUGACUGCCCUAUGGGUUGUAAACUUCUUUUAUAAGGGAAUAAAGUGAGGGACGUGUCCCUUUUUGUAUGUACCUUAUGAAUAAGGAUCGGCUAACUCCGUGCCAGCAGCCGCGGUAAUACGGAGGAUCCGAGCGUUAUCCGGAUUUAUUGGGUUUAAAGGGAGCGUAGGUUGACAUAUAAGUCAGCUGUGAAAGUUUACGGCUCAACCGUGAAAUUGCAGUUGAUACUGUAUGUCUUGAGUGUACAAGAGGUGGGCGGAAUUCGUGGUGUAGCGGUGAAAUGCUUAGAUAUCACGAAGAACUCCAAUUGCGAAGGCAGCUCACUGGGGGUACAACUGACACUGAGGCUCGAAAGUGUGGGUAUCAAACAGGAUUAGAUACCCUGGUAGUCCACACAGUAAACGAUGAAUACUCGCUGUUUGCGAUAUACAGUAAGCGGCCAAGCGAAAGCAUUAAGUAUUCCACCUGGG